Molecule: ribosomal RNA, 253 nt
Filed under: uncultured Staphylococcus sp.
Lineage: Bacteria; Bacillati; Bacillota; Bacilli; Caryophanales; Staphylococcaceae
Description: partial 16S ribosomal RNA
Rfam family: Bacterial small subunit ribosomal RNA
Source: RNAcentral
AGUAACACGUGGAUAACCUACCUAUAAGACUGGGAUAACUUCGGGGAACCGGAGCUAAUACCGGAUAAUAUUUUGAACCGCAUGGUUCAAAAGUGAAAGACGGUCUUGCAGUCACUUAUAGAUGGAUCCGCGCUGCAUUAGCUAGUUGGUAAGGUAACGGCUUACCAAGGCAACGAUGCAUAGCCGACCUGAGAGGGUGAUCGGCCACACUGGAACUGAGACACGGUCCAGACUCCUACUGGAGGCAGCAGAA